CAUGCAGUCGAGCGGAACGAUGAUAGCUUGCUAUCAUGGCGUCGAGCGGCGGACGGGUGAGUAAUACUUAGGAAUCUGCCCAGUAGUGGGGGAUAGCUCGGGGAAACUCGAAUUAAUACCGCAUACACCCUACGGGGAAAAGGGGGCGCUUGCGCUCUCGCUAUUGGAUGAGCCUAAGUCGGAUUAGCUAGUUGGUGGGGUAAAGGCCUACCAAGGCGACGAUCUGUAGCUGGUCUGAGAGGAUGAUCAGCCACACCGGGACUGAGACACGGCCCGGACUCCUACGGGAGGCAGCAGUGGGGAAUAUUGGACAAUGGGGGGAACCCUGAUCCAGCCAUGCCGCGUGUGUGAAGAAGGCCUUUUGGUUGUAAAGCACUUUAAGCAGUGAAGAAGACUCUAUGGUUAAUACCCAUAGACGAUGACAUUAGCUGCAGAAUAAGCACCGGCUAACUCUGUGCCAGCAGCCGCGGUAAUACAGAGGGUGCAAGCGUUAAUCGGAAUUACUGGGCGUAAAGCGAGCGUAGGUGGCUUAAUAAGUCAGAUGUGAAAUCCCCGGGCUUAACCUGGGAACUGCAUCUGAUACUGUUAGGCUAGAGUAGGUGAGAGGGAGGUAGAAUUUCAGGUGUAGCGGUGAAAUGCGUAGAGAUCUGAAGGAAUACCGAUGGCGAAGGCAGCCUCCUGGCAUCAUACUGACACUGAGGUUCGAAAGCGUGGGUAGCAAACAGGAUUAGAUACCCUGGUAGUCCACGCCGUAAACGAUGUCUACUAGUCGUUGGGGAACUUGAUUCCUUAGUGACGCAGCUAACGCAAUAAGUAGACCGCCUGGGGAGUACGGCCGCAAGGUUAAAACUCAAAUGAAUUGACGGGGGCCCGCACAAGCGGUGGAGCAUGUGGUUUAAUUCGAUGCAACGCGAAGAACCUUACCUGGUCUUGACAUAUCUAGAAUCCUGCAGAGAUGCGGGAGUGCCUUCGGGAAUUAGAAUACAGGUGCUGCAUGGCUGUCGUCAGCUCGUGUCCUGAGAUGUUGGGUUAAGUCCCGCAACGAGCGCAACCCUUUUCCUUAUUUACCAGCGGUUCGGCCGGGGACUCUAAGGAUACUGCCAGUGACAAACUGGAGGAAGGCGGGGACAACUUCAAGUCAUCAUGGCCCUUAC
Molecule: ribosomal RNA, 1154 nt
Filed under: Psychrobacter sp. PYCC 8222
Lineage: Bacteria; Pseudomonadati; Pseudomonadota; Gammaproteobacteria; Moraxellales; Moraxellaceae
Description: bacterial SSU rRNA
Rfam family: Bacterial small subunit ribosomal RNA
Source: RNAcentral